CGAACGCUGGCGGCGUGCUUAACACAUGCAAGUCGAACGGCAAGGCCCUGCUUGCAGGGUCCUCGAGUGGCGAACGGGUGAGUAACACGUGGGUGAUCUGCCCUGCACUUCGGGAUAAGCCUGGGAAACUGGGUCUAAUACCGGAUAGGAGCCAUUUUUAGUGUGAUGGUUGGAAAGUUUUUUCGGUGUAGGAUGAGCUCGCGGCCUAUCAGCUUGUUGGUGGGGUAAUGGCCUACCAAGGCGGCGACGGGUAGCCGGCCUGAGAGGGUGGACGGCCACAUUGGGACUGAGAUACGGCCCAGACUCCUACGGGAGGCAGCAGUGGGGAAUAUUGCACAAUGGGCGCAAGCCUGAUGCAGCGACGCCGCGUGGGGGAUGACGGCCUUCGGGUUGUAAACUCCUUUCGCUAGGGACGAAGCUUUUUGUGACGGUACCUAGAUAAGAAGCACCGGCUAACUACGUG
This 463-nucleotide ribosomal RNA is filed under the name uncultured bacterium. RNAcentral describes it as "partial 16S ribosomal RNA". It matches the Rfam family "Bacterial small subunit ribosomal RNA", at positions 30 to 507 of the family's 1533-position model. The record is from RNAcentral.